CCGCACUUAUCUAUUGUUCAUCAAAAAUACAUAUCAUACUCAUUAAUAUGAUUGUUGUAACAAAAAAAUAUAGAAAUCCUAGAACUCCUAGGGAUCAUAAACUCACGAUGCUUUCUUGGUUUCUCCAGCAUUUGAUUCCUCCACGCAAUGUAGCUGCAAUAUACAGAAGAUCUUUUUAAAAAAUUAUAAUACGAAGACAACAAUUCUAAUAUAAGCAAAAACGACAAUAAACAAUAAAAAUCAAAUGAACAAUAUAACAUGUUCGUCAAGAACACCUUCUUCGAAGCCCCAGCCCACUAAAGCGCAAAUGUUCGUCAAGUGACACAGUAAUGUUAUGUAAGAUCAGUGAACAAAGAAAAGCUUGUUCACCUUCUACAAUGGAGUGUUCCAUAAUGGUUGCAAAU
RNAcentral lists this long non-coding RNA (404 nucleotides) under Salvia miltiorrhiza (redroot sage). RNAcentral describes it as "long non-coding RNA (SMIL_LNC005581)". Lineage: Eukaryota; Viridiplantae; Streptophyta; Magnoliopsida; Lamiales; Lamiaceae. The record is from RNAcentral.